ACUUGAAAACAACAGAAGGAAAGAAAAUGUUUCCAAUGAAUGAAACGAAGUAGUAUAAGUCAGAGCUUAAAUGGUCUUCCAUGGAACUUUCAUUGUUGUUACUACGAUUAUUUUAUUCACCUUCCAUUCCACGCGUCUUUACGUAAUUUUACAUUGACUUCUUGUUUGCAUAGAGAGUGACUUUCUUUGAACUGCUCCUUCAUCUCCAAAUUCAACCCCAUGGAGAAGAUUCAUCCUUCUUAGCAGAUAGAUGGUUGUAUCUUGAAAUCCCAGCACCCAAAUCACUCUCAAUUUCUCAUCUGAUCAAUUUUGAUAGAGGCGGAGAGAGAGAGAGAGAUGGAUUCUGAUGAACGGCCACAGCAAGUAACAGGGGUAGUUAUAAUAACUCUUCCACCAUCUGACAACCCUUCUCUAGGAAAAACAAUCACAGCUUUUACUCUUACUAAUGAUGUUUUCCCUCAAUCUCACCAAACCCAACAACGCCAACAACAAGAAGAAGAACAGACUUUGCCAACAACCCAGAUUCUAACACCAGCUCCACCUUCACCACAAAACCCUCAGCUUGGAUUCUCAUUCUUGGGACUCUUUUCUGAUAACCCAAGAAAGCUAUUAGGCUUUCUGGGUAUCUCCCUCUUUGCUCUUCUUCUUUACAGUUCUGCUUUCUCUAAUACUUUUGUAGAAUUAAGGAAUUCCAACAAUGAUGAUGAUGAAAAGCCAGAGUCUUUUAUCUUCCCUUUGUAUCACAAACUGGGGGCUGAUUCGGAGCUCAAGUUGGGGAGAUUUGUGGAUGUUGAUACGGAGAAUUUGGUGGCUUCAGUUGAAGGUGGUGCAACGGGAACUCAGAAGAUCAACAAAUUGGUGGCUUCUAAUGCUGCUGUAAUUGAUUCAGCCGGUACUAUUUUGCCUGUUAGGGGCAAUGUUUAUCCGGACGGAUUGUACUUCACAUACAUGCUUGUUGGGAAUCCUCAAAGACGUUAUUUUCUUGAUAUUGAUACUGGAAGUGACUUAACAUGGAUACAAUGCGAUGCUCCUUGCUCCAGUUGUGCCAAGGGAGCAAAUCCUCUAUACAAACCCACAAGAGUAAAUAUCGUAGCAUCCAAGGACUUAAUGUGCACGGAGGUACAGAAGAAUCAAAAGCCUCAAAAUUGUGAAACCUGUCAACAGUGUGACUACGAGAUUGAAUAUGCUGAUCGUAGCUCCUCCCUGGGGGUUCUUGCAAGAGAUAAACUUCACCUAGUGACUGCAAAUGGAUCAACUACCAACUUGGAUGUGGUUUUUGGGUGUGCAUAUGAUCAGCAAGGCAUACUUUUGAACACUCUGUCAAAGACAGAUGGAAUUCUUGGACUAAGCAGGGCUAAAGUUAGUCUGCCUUCUCAAUUGGCAAGCAAGGGAAUCAUUAACAAUGUGGUCGGUCAUUGCCUUGCAACAGAUGUUGGUGCUGCUGGAUAUAUGUUCUUAGGUGAUGAUUUUGUGCCAAACUGGGGCAUGUCAUGGGUCCCUAUGCUUGGAAACCCUUCAACAGAAUUUUACCAUACACAAAUUGUGAAAAUCAAUUAUGGAAGUAGCUCCCUCAGUUUAGGCAGACAACAUAGCAACAUUGGAAGAGUUGUGUUUGACAGUGGCAGUUCUUAUACGUACUUCACGAAACAAGCAUAUGCCGAAUUGGUUGCUUCUCUUAGCGAGGUUUCCGAGGUGGGAUUUAUCCAAGAUGUAGCAGAUACAACAUUGCCAAUGUGCUGGCAAGCUCCAUUUCCUAUCAGAUCUAUCAAGGAUGUUAAGCAGUUCUUCAAGACUUUAACCCUUCAAUUUGGGAGUAAUUGGUGGAUUAUUUCCAAGAGGUUUCAUAUUCCUCCAGAAGGCUACUUGAUCAUUAGCAAUAAAGGUAAUGUCUGCUUAGGCAUCCUGGAUGGAAGCAAAGUACAUGAUGGAUCAACAAUUAUACUUGGAGGCAAGUUUGGCACACCAAAACCUUUUAAUUCUUCAUAUUAUUUCGGUUCAUGAGUUCUCGGUAAGCCCAGUCCUUGUUUUGAGAAUGUUUCAAUUCCAUGAGAUCCUAGCCUAAUCUUUGAAAUCUAAUGCCUUCUAAUGUACAAAAUGUGUUAUAUCGGUAAAGUCUUCACUUCAAAUUCAAUCUAUCAAUAUCUAUUCCAACCACCGAAACUAUCGCGAGUUUCUUUCUCAGUUUCUCUAUCAGACAAAUCAAGGGCACCUUCAUUCUUGUCCUUCAUAAUGGUUAACAUGGGGAAACUGUAAAUCUGAUAUAGACAUAUCACUACGGGGGCGAUUGGUCGUCUAUGAUAAUGAGAAACUGAAGAUUGGGUGGACACAAUCAGAUUGUGCCCAGCCAAGAAGAUUCAAGAGCCUCCCAUUCUUUGAAGGAUAGUUUGGCUGCAUGACUGCAUUAUAAUACCACAACUACUAUACUCAUAUCUGUACAUUCUAAGAAUACACAUUUGCCCUCUGUAAAUUUUUCUCACUUAAUGCGUCUGCUUCUUCUAGACUAUUUAUUUGCCGAAAUAUAGAACAUGAGUCCUUUAGUAUCCAA
RNA transcript from Theobroma umbraticum, 2545 nucleotides. It is a transcript of the gene named Eukaryotic aspartyl protease family protein, with no coding region annotated. NCBI's taxonomy places the organism in Eukaryota, Viridiplantae, Streptophyta, Magnoliopsida, Malvales, Malvaceae. The record is from RefSeq and is a predicted model, not a curated record.